UUCUAAUUGGGAGUGAUGAAUUCAAAGGAC
Molecule: non-coding RNA, 30 nt
Filed under: Rattus norvegicus (Norway rat)
Lineage: Eukaryota; Metazoa; Chordata; Mammalia; Rodentia; Muridae
Source: RNAcentral